GAGCUCAGCGGAAGAGCAUCUGCUUUGCCUGUAGAAAGUGCCAGGUUCAGUCCCCGGCAUCUCCA
RNAcentral lists this transfer RNA (65 nucleotides) under Sphaerodactylus townsendi. RNAcentral describes it as "tRNA-Ala". Lineage: Eukaryota; Metazoa; Chordata; Lepidosauria; Squamata; Sphaerodactylidae. The record is from RNAcentral.